CCAAACCAACCAAUGUGGGAUCUCACAAUUAAUCUCUUUUGUUGUGCCAUUAAGUACGGUCAUUUAACAUUUCAGAACAAAACAUUUGUCAUGUUAAGACAGCUUUGCUCUUUAUAUUGUUCCUCUGCAAGUAUGUCUUGCCAGCUUUUUGAUUAUUUACUGUGUGUAGGUCCUGCAUACCAAGAGGUAUGCGUUUGCACCUCCAAAGGGAUCUGCAGCAGCAGAAACAAAUCCCAGUGAGUACCUCUUUGCAGCUUUAGAGGACAGCAAUUCAGGGUCUCUUUUGCAAUAUCUUGCAUUUCUUGAUCUCUGCAUGGUUUGUGAGAACAAUGUGGAUAUAUGGAGGAGAGCUGCAUUUUUUGAAGAAACAGGUGAGACAUAUAAGCGAAUUAUAUCCAUUUCCUUGAAGCCUUUGGAGCAAUUUGCACUGAACUUAGGCCAAGGUUUGGAAGGUGCUGUGGACAUUACCUCCCAACUAUCGCCAAAGGACUCUCACUUCAACGUAAAACAAUUCGAAACUCUUAAAAACUUUCAGUUGUAUGCAUGGUGUGCUCGAACAGUUUCUAUGUUGACUGCACGCUCACAUGCAGAAGAUCGAUUCGGUGUUGCUCAACUCUCUGGUAGUAAUGCAACUGUUAUGUCAACACUGUUGUCUUGCCUGCUUGCUGUUGAAGUGUUGAUGGGUAAGAAAACGACUAUACAGUCUUCACACGGUUUAUUCGGCCCGGCUAGUAUUAAAUGGGCAACGUCAAGUAUUGGAAGAGUAGAUGCUUCGGUUGGUAAAAGGAAAAGUGGUCCGCUGCAUUCGAAGGCAUAUGCUAUUGCGAACGUAUUGAGGGUGUCGAUCUAUGUCGUCGUUUCUGCAUUCCAUAACGAGAUGGUGAAUAGUGCCAAGUCCGGUGUUCUUGAGAAAGAUUGGAUCACUAGUGAAAAGCCCCUUUAUGGUACUCGUGAGUUGCUUCUUCAGAAAUUGCAUAUUUUCUUGGACUUUCAAGCUUAGAUAGAACGGCGAUUUCGAUUUCGAUUUCAUUUUCCCCGUCUCCGCCCCGUCGAAUUAUAGCGAAUCACUUGUGAGGCAGUUUUGUUGUCUUUGAUUCUGAAGAGUUAACUGAGCUGCCUGUAAACUUCUAAGAAGAAAGUGUCUUCCAGAUUGCAUUUUUGCGCCACAUUUUCCAGCAGACCAGCUUCAGAAAUUCCAAGUUG
Molecule: non-coding RNA, 1203 nt
Organism: Cucurbita pepo subsp. pepo (vegetable marrow)
Lineage: Eukaryota; Viridiplantae; Streptophyta; Magnoliopsida; Cucurbitales; Cucurbitaceae
Source: RefSeq, a predicted model, not a curated record